AUAUAUAAUUAAAUACAAAAAUAGAGAUUGGUGUGCGAUGAUAAGAAUAAUGUU
This 54-nucleotide non-coding RNA is filed under the name Trypanosoma lewisi. The record is from RNAcentral. Lineage: Eukaryota; Euglenozoa; Kinetoplastea; Trypanosomatida; Trypanosomatidae.